Molecule: ribosomal RNA, 222 nt
Filed under: uncultured bacterium
Lineage: Bacteria
Description: partial 16S ribosomal RNA
Rfam family: Bacterial small subunit ribosomal RNA
Source: RNAcentral
GAGUAAUGUCUGGGAAACUGCCUGAUGGAGGGGGAUAACUGCUGGAAACGGUAGCUAAUACCGCAUAACGUCGCAAGACCAAAGAGGGGGACCUUCGGGCCUCUUGCCAUCGGAUGUGCCCAGAUGGGAUUAGCUAGUAGGUGGGGUAACGGCUCACCUAGGCGACGAUCCCUAGCUGGUCUGAGAGGAUGCCAGCCACACUGGAACUGAGACACGGUCCAG